AGAAUCAACGCUGGCGGCGUGCCUAACACAUGCAAGUCGAACGAGAAAGGGAUUUCGGUCCUGAGUAUAGUGGCGCACGGGUGAGUAACACGUGAAUAAUCUACCUCCGAGUGGGAAUAACUGAGAGAAAUCUUAGCUAAUACCGCAUAACACUUACGAGUCAAAGCAGCAAUGCGCUUGGAGAGGAGUUCGCGGCCGAUUAGUUAGUUGGCGGGGUAAUGGCCCACCAAGACGAUGAUCGGUAU
Molecule: ribosomal RNA, 245 nt
Filed under: uncultured bacterium
Lineage: Bacteria
Description: partial small subunit ribosomal RNA
Rfam family: Bacterial small subunit ribosomal RNA
Source: RNAcentral